Molecule: ribosomal RNA, 468 nt
Filed under: uncultured bacterium
Lineage: Bacteria
Description: partial 16S ribosomal RNA
Rfam family: Bacterial small subunit ribosomal RNA
Source: RNAcentral
GACGAACGCUGGCGGCGUGCUUAACACAUGCAAGUCGAACGGAAAGGCCCUGCUUUUGUGGGGUGCUCGAGUGGCGAACGGGUGAGUAACACGCGAGUAACCUGCCCUUGACUUUGGGAUAGCUUCAGGAAACUGGGGCUAAUACCGGAUAGGAGCUCCUGCUGCAUGGUGGGGGUUGGAAAGUUUCGGCGGUUGGGGAUGGACUCGCGGCUUAUCAGCUUGUUGGUGGGGUAGUGGCUUACCAAGGCUUUGACGGGUAGCCGGCCUGAGAGGGUGACCGGCCACAUUGGGACUGAGAUACGGCCCAGACUCCUACGGGAGGCAGCAGUGGGGAAUAUUGCACAAUGGGCGGAAGCCUGAUGCAGCAACGCCGCGUGCGGGAUGACGGCCUUCGGGUUGUAAACCGCUUUCGCCUGUGACGAAGCGUGAGUGACGGUAAUGGGUAAAGAAGCACCGGCUAACUACGUG